This 537-nucleotide ribosomal RNA is filed under the name Bacillus sp. N81_2. RNAcentral describes it as "bacterial SSU rRNA". It matches the Rfam family "Bacterial small subunit ribosomal RNA", at positions 64 to 582 of the family's 1533-position model. Lineage: Bacteria; Bacillati; Bacillota; Bacilli; Caryophanales; Bacillaceae. The record is from RNAcentral.
GAGCGAUGGAUUAAGAGCUUGCUCUUAUGAAGUUAGCGGCGGACGGGUGAGUAACACGUGGGUAACCUGCCCAUAAGACUGGGAUAACUCCGGGAAACCGGGGCUAAUACCGGAUAACAUUUUGAACUGCAUGGUUCGAAAUUGAAAGGCGGCUUCGGCUGUCACUUAUGGAUGGACCCGCGUCGCAUUAGCUAGUUGGUGAGGUAACGGCUCACCAAGGCAACGAUGCGUAGCCGACCUGAGAGGGUGAUCGGCCACACUGGGACUGAGACACGGCCCAGACUCCUACGGGAGGCAGCAGUAGGGAAUCUUCCGCAAUGGACGAAAGUCUGACGGAGCAACGCCGCGUGAGUGAUGAAGGCUUUCGGGUCGUAAAACUCUGUUGUUAGGGAAGAACAAGUGCUAGUUGAAUAAGCUGGCACCUUGACGGUACCUAACCAGAAAGCCACGGCUAACUACGUGCCAGCAGCCGCGGUAAUACGUAGGUGGCAAGCGUUAUCCGGAAUUAUUGGGCGUAAAGCGCGCGCAGGUGGUUUC